CCUACGGUGGCAGCAGUGGGGAAUAUUGGACAAUGGGCGAAAGCCUGAUCCAGCCAUGCCGCGUGUGUGAAGAAGGCCUUCGGGUUGUAAAGCACUUUCAGUGGGGAAGAAAGCCUUGGGGCUAAUACCCUCGAGGAAGGACAUCACCCACAGAAGAAGCACCGGCUAACUCCGUGCCAGCAGCCGCGGUAAUACGGAGGGUGCGAGCGUUAAUCGGAAUUACUGGGCGUAAAGCGCGCGUAGGCGGUCUGAUAAGCCGGUUGUGAAAGCCCCGGGCUCAACCUGGGAACGGCAUCCGGAACUGUCAGGCUAGAGUGCAGGAGAGGAAGGUAGAAUUCCCGGUGUAGCAGUGAAAUGCGUAGAGAUCGGGAGGAAUACCAGUGGCGAAGGCGGCCUUCUGGACUGACACUGACGCUGAGGUGCGAAAGCGUGGGUAGCAAACAGGAUUAGAUACCCCGGUAGUC
Molecule: ribosomal RNA, 464 nt
Filed under: Vreelandella stevensii
Lineage: Bacteria; Pseudomonadati; Pseudomonadota; Gammaproteobacteria; Oceanospirillales; Halomonadaceae
Description: partial 16S ribosomal RNA
Rfam family: Bacterial small subunit ribosomal RNA
Source: RNAcentral